This 530-nucleotide long non-coding RNA is filed under the name Pongo abelii (Sumatran orangutan). Its description in RNAcentral is "lincRNA". The record is from RNAcentral. Lineage: Eukaryota; Metazoa; Chordata; Mammalia; Primates; Hominidae.
GACGCAAGGAUCCCAGAGACUGCCUGUGCUUUCUGGCAUUUGAAGGUUCUCAUUUUAAUGGCAAUCCUUGAAAACCUAAAAGCCUUAGAAACCAGAAGAAAUCAAUGUUUAAUGUUGGAACUUGAAACAUUAUGACAAAGGAGAAGGAGCUGAAAGGAAUUUUUAGACUUCACUGAGUGCAACCAAUUCAUCUUCUGCAUGAGCAAACUUAGAAGGAGAGAGAGAAAUGACAGGUGUCACACUACAGCCCCAGAUUUCCUAACACAAACUCCAGGAAAAGAAUCAUAUUGACUCACCGAGUAAUCUGCCAAGCCCUGUCAAAGGCUACGGACCCUCCUAUUCCACUUUUCGAAGCCUGUCAAAGAUGACAAAGAUGACAAACAAGUGAUGAGGACACUAAGGCACAGUUAAGGAAUAACUUGUCAAAGAUCACAGUGUUAGUAGUGAGAAAGAAUGCAGAUACAAAUCCUCCAACUCUGCAUCCCCUGUGUGCCCCACACCCUGCCCCCGAGGCCACACUAAAGACAGAG